UUCUAAGAGAGCCCCUUGCCCCUUCUGUCAUGUGAGAUUACAGAGAAAAGGUGGCUGUCUGGGGAGCAGGCCCUCAGCAGAUGCAGAAAUGUGCCAGCACCGUGAUCUUGGACUUCCCAGCCUCCAGAACUGUGGUGUUUUAUUCCAGAAGAAAGUUGUUUCUUUUUAAGUCGAGGCCAGCAAGCAUUGAUAACAAUUCCUGUGGAAGGUUUCAUCUCCCUCCUGAGGCAUUGCGAAGUGUAAGUGACCGAAGGCCCAGCUGCUGUGCUCUGAAAUCCAUCAUGACAUUUGCACCAAGGCCGUGCUUCCUGGGGUGCUCUCAGUCACUGACCAAGUAUGGCAUGGAUGCUAAGGCCAGGCUGUUCCUGGGAGAUGCAGGACUCCUCUGGAUUCUGACCUCCCAGCAUCUUCGUCUGCUGUUGGUGGAACACCAUCUGCCGCGAAUGUAGCUGUCUCUCCACUAGAUAGUCUUUCACCUUUUGAAGCCUAGACAGGUUUCCAUCCAGCUCAACUCAAAUCAAGCUCUCCAAGUAGUCCCUUUGAAGCCACUGCCACUGGAUGGAGCAGCAGGAGAAAGGACUUGCUGUCCUCUGUCCUCCAGCUGCCCAGGACUUCUGCUGAAGACAGGGCAGAGCUACAACAGCCGGAGUGACUCUGGGAAACCCUCUCUGUACUCCAAGCAAGGAUGGUCCAGACUCCAGUGAGGAUGCCUUGGACAUGUGGGUGGGGCCGUCCUCAUGGGUAUGUGACCUGUGUAGUUGUAUAGAGCCUGUGUUCAGAAGAGACCCAUGCUUGGUCUAAUUCUCUGCUGUUACUGUCUUUAAAUUUUUAAUAAUGUUAUCUUUGAAUCUGUUCUUUGUACAUGAAAUGUGAUGGGACAAUGGAGCAUGCACAUGAACAGAGGAGAUACACGCAAUAUUCCUGUCUCCCACUCUCUGAUGCCUCUUUGCAUAUAGAAUUUGUGAUGUCCCCUGAACACAGAAUUUUGGUGGACUCACGAUGUGUGGGAAUUCAGAGAC
This 1019-nucleotide long non-coding RNA is filed under the name Equus caballus (horse). RNAcentral describes it as "lncRNA (ENSECAG00000029191.3)". Lineage: Eukaryota; Metazoa; Chordata; Mammalia; Perissodactyla; Equidae. The record is from RNAcentral.